UACAGGGGGUGCAAACGUUGCUCGGAAUCAUUGGGCGUAAAGCGCACGUAGGCGGUUCGUUAUGUCGGAUGUGAAAGCCCUUGGCUUAACCGAGGAAGUGCAUCCGAAACUGGCGAGCUAGAGUACGAAAGAGGAUCGCGGAAUUCCCGGUGUAGAGGUGAAAUUCGUAGAUAUUGGGAGGAACACCGGUGGCGAAGGCGGCCAUCUGGGCUACAACUGACGCUGAGGCGCGAGAGCGUGGGGAGCAAACAGG
RNAcentral lists this ribosomal RNA (253 nucleotides) under uncultured bacterium. RNAcentral describes it as "partial 16S ribosomal RNA". It matches the Rfam family "Bacterial small subunit ribosomal RNA", at positions 524 to 776 of the family's 1533-position model. The record is from RNAcentral.